CCCCUUUGUGCUCCAUCCGAAUAAAUUUACAUGUGCAGAAAAAUCAUUGAUAGUUCAAAUAACAGCGGCCCUUAAUUUGAAUAUCUGACCAUUGCAAGUAUCAAAUGCAUCGAUACCCUCCCAUAGUUGUUUCAAUUUCUCUAUUCAAGAUUGCAAAAAGAUAUUAAUAUCAUUGUCUGGAUCCUUAUCAUCUGCAAUAACUAUUGACAAGAUAAGUGAAGAUUAUUUCAUACACAUCCAUGGUGGC
RNAcentral lists this long non-coding RNA (247 nucleotides) under Elaeis guineensis (African oil palm). RNAcentral describes it as "long non-coding RNA (EGUI_LNC047983)". The record is from RNAcentral. Lineage: Eukaryota; Viridiplantae; Streptophyta; Magnoliopsida; Arecales; Arecaceae.